CAGGCGGCCUGUCUGUGACGUCACGACGCCGGUCACGCCUUUCCCAGCGGCGCAGGCCCUUGAAACCUGGAGGUCGGCCCUGCGAUUCUGAGGAAUAGAACUUGCUGCUCCCGCAGCGCGAGAUGCGAUGACUUGAGGAACUCCGAGAGCACCCCAAGGGCCACUGAGGAGGGCUGUCUGAAGGAAUGCCGUCAGUCUGUGAAAACACCUCUCAACUUCGACUCAUCCCUGAAGAUGAGAAACCGUGGCUUGGUAGCUGUCCCUAGGAGGAGAACCAGGCACCUUCUCUGCAAGAGUGAAUCUACCCCAACAUCCUCUGCAACUCAAAUCUUGUCUUAAGUGUGAGUGCCUUUUUCCUUUCCAUGCUUCCAAAUCAGCAUUCCCAGCCUUCCUGCAAAGAAAUGGGUGCAGAACUGCAAGUGGAAACGCCUUCCCCCUUCCUCAGAUCAUCAUUCCCUCUGCCUCCUCCUCUCAUGUCCACCUGCCACACUCUGAACCUUAUCCAACAGGCCUGGGGCUUUCUGGAACAGAGUAAAACCCAAGGCCAGGUGGUGUCUCUGCAGCGACACCAGUGCUUCUGCCCCAGGAUGCACCGCCACGAGGUCUGCACAAAACCCUCAGAAUAACCCCUGCUUUGAAAGGCAGCCGGCCGCUCUGCCCAGCUCACUCGAGAGGCUGCAGGGCCAAGGAGUCCGCUGUACUCCCAGCAUCACAGGAGCGACCUAACACGUUGUGUCAGAGAAUCCCAGGGAUAGGAAAUGUCCGGACAGAAUUUUCGGAUCAUGAGGCCCCACACUCACCAAAUUGUGAAUGCUUAGACGCACAGAAUAGUGGAAUCUAGAAUUUGAGAGGCAUAAUUUAACACUCCCUUUGGUAAAUGAACAAGCUCAAGGCCAGAGUGAUUGAUUUUCCGAAGGAGUGACUCACCCACGGGGGUGGGGGGGUGGUGGAUUUCCUGCUCCCCACCCACCAGCUUCCCCUCACCCUCACCCAGCCCUGCUCUCUCCUCCACCAGAGCUCAGGACCCCACCGCUCACCACCUCCUUAGAAAACCCACUCCAGUUCUCGGGGUUUCAUUAGACAGCUUUAAUAACUCACACGACCAUUUCUUAAACAAACGUAAGCGUGCUCAAUCUCUCAAAACUUAUACAAACAAAAUUCAUUCCUCUCUAACCACCACCCCUUCCUCCUUCCUUUCACUGUUAAGCUUCUUGAAAGUUUCUCCCACACUUGCCAUCUCUACUACUCACCUCCCCUUCUCCCCACUGCCAUCUCUCCACGGCUAAUUUUGUCUCCACCAUUCCUCGGGGUUCACAGUGGCUUCUUUACUUCUAAACUCAGGGGACACCUUUCAGUCCCCUGUUUGACUGCCCUGCAGCAGCUGAGCCCGGUGGCCAUUCCCACUGUCACUGCCAUGACAUCACAGCCCCAGGCUUCUCAGAUGUCUCUGCCUGCUGCGUCUCCGCUCGCUCUGAGGGGCUCCCUCCCAGCCCUCUCCUCCUCCUCCUCCUCAUCAUCAUCAUCAUCAUACUCCUGCUGAGUGAUCGCAGCCAUCCUCAGGGCCGAUUUGUUACAACUUCCUAGGUGUUGCCCUGAAACUCAGUGUUUCCUUCUGAGUCCUGGAUCGAUGUAGCCAGAGGACUGUAUCCUUCACUAAAUGGGGAGCCCGUGGAGGGUGGGGAUCGGAGGCCCAGGCACUGAGCAGGUGUUCGGGAAAUGGAAACAGUGAGAUGAGACUCGUCGACCUGCCAUCCAAGGGUUCUCCGCAUCAAGUGCACAUCUCAGGGAAUGCCCGAGGGGGGACUCACGGAACUGCAAGCUUUAGAAGCACAAGUCAGAGGAAAUGUAAGAUCAUCUAUAACCAAACCCCUCACUGUGCUGAUAAGGAAACUGAGGCCCCGAAGGGUUAAGUGACUUGUCCAAGGUCGCACAGCAAGUCUGUGGCAGAGCACAUCAGCAGCUCACAUAGGAAAAGACACCUUGGGGUUUUGCUUCCCGGGAUGACAGUGCAGAGUAAAAGGUAGAAAAAUAGGAUGGACGUGAUGUGCACAGGAGGCCAUGGCGAAUGUGAGCCCAAGCGUUAAGUCCGGAAAGUUCAAAGGUACAAUGCCCUGCGCAAAUCUUACUCGAUUG
This is an RNA transcript of Artibeus jamaicensis (Jamaican fruit-eating bat), 2133 nucleotides long. It is a transcript of the gene named MMP24 opposite strand, with no coding region annotated. The record is from RefSeq and is a predicted model, not a curated record. The transcript has 3 exons. NCBI's taxonomy places the organism in Eukaryota, Metazoa, Chordata, Mammalia, Chiroptera, Phyllostomidae.